CGUAGUAAAAGCACGUAUUGUGCUUCAAAUUAGAAAUUAAAAUAGCUGACUUUUUUCUAUCUUAACUAGCUGUAGUGUUGGCUGGCGGUGGUCACUCUGCUAAUGGUGCUGUGGCCCAAGGCUCCCAAUCUGAAGGGGAUUCUAACAACACAACUAUAUUUGUUGGAGGGCUUGAUUCUGAAAUCAGCAAUGAGGAUCUCAGACAACCGUUUUUGCAAUAUGGCGAUGUUGUCUCCGUGAAAAUUCCAAUCGGUAAAGGAUGUGGCUUUGUUCAACUUGCUGACAGAAAGAAUGCUGAGGAAGCUAUUCAGGGAUUGAAUGGAACAGUGAUCGGGAAGCAGACCGUGCGUCUUUCUUGGGGUCGCAGUCCGGGAAAUAAGCAUUGGAGGAAUAAUGAUUCGAAUGGAAACCAUUAUGGCGGGCAAGGUUACGGUGGUCACGGAUACGGAGGCCAUGGAUAUGCUGCUAGACAGAAUCAGGAUAUAGCGAUGCAACAACCUGCAGCUGCAAUUCAAGGGGCUUCGUAACGGCCAUAGCGCGUUGCGUCGCGGCUGGUAUUGAAAUAGGAUGAACUUUAUUGCUCUGAUAAGUGAACUGUAGUGUUAUUUUUGAAUUUGUAGCU
Long non-coding RNA from Lathyrus oleraceus (garden pea), 622 nucleotides. RefSeq lists it as uncharacterized. The transcript has 4 exons. Lineage: Eukaryota; Viridiplantae; Streptophyta; Magnoliopsida; Fabales; Fabaceae. The record is from RefSeq and is a predicted model, not a curated record.